AUAGAUAAAUCAGAUAUACUAAAAUAACACUGAGAAACAGUGAUAUAUAAAUCUGUAAGACUUCUGGGAUUAUAUUGAAUUAAGUUUAUUAUUAUUAUUAUUAUUAUUAUUAUUAUUAUUAUUAUUAUUAUUUUAUUUUUUUAUUUUUUUGGACCUCAAAACCUUGUUUUAUCCAGUAAUGAGGACUAUAUUUACCUGGAGUAAGAGAAAUAUAUUCUCUAAAGUCCUGAUGCAAUUUUGCUUCUUAAAUGCAUCCUGUUUUAAAGAGGUUUACAUCAUUCCAUUGGAAAACAAGACAUAAAUAUUAAUAAAGGAUCUUGAAUGGACAUGCAUCCUCUAGAUCUCUCCAGUCAAACUUUCUUCGUGGUAAGGUAACGCUAAAAGUCGUGCAGUAAUAAUAGUAUAAGCAUAGCACGUGCAAACAUCGAGCCACAAAGAGCGAAAGAGAACAUGGCGAACGUGGAAACAUUUAAACAAUUUGCCAGGGGCCUUAAUUGUUUUCCGUUUCCCUGACGAUGGCUAGCUGAAAAGAUGGAGAGUUUCAGUGAAUAGAUUAGCGCACGCUCCAGCAGUCAUGACAAAAUCCCUCUUAACCCCGCGAGCCCGCCAUCAGAGCGCCCCGCCGCAGAUAUCACUCGCUCCUCAGUGUUAUUAAACACAACUUUGCAGAUUCAGUCCGCCGCGAGUGCCAUUUAGCCGCGCGGAGCAGGAAGGAAGCGUGUGGGGGAAUUACAGGUUGCCAGCGCGACUGACAGGGGUUGAUUUGGGUGUGCGGUGUGUGCAGGCCUCCCUCAGAGUGUUGUGACAGGCGGUCAUUACAGCACACGUCUCCACACUCAGCUGCACCAGACGCCGCAUGCAAAUGGACACAAAUGGGCUCCACUGUACGCCGGAGCUAAUGACACUUUCUGCUGCUCUUCUUUAAGGUGGAAGCUGAACGCUCGCGGCUGCACACUUCAUAAAUCAGUGAGGCCCAUUAGAGGACGGGCCCUCGGCAGAUCCUUCG
This is a long non-coding RNA of Cyprinus carpio (common carp), 1006 nucleotides long. The record is from Ensembl. Lineage: Eukaryota; Metazoa; Chordata; Actinopteri; Cypriniformes; Cyprinidae.